Small nucleolar RNA from Bubalus bubalis (water buffalo), 134 nucleotides. Lineage: Eukaryota; Metazoa; Chordata; Mammalia; Artiodactyla; Bovidae. The record is from RefSeq and is a predicted model, not a curated record.
AAGCUGCCUUUGAGCCCUCGCCCCUGUGCACGGCACUGGCACCGGGAGUCAGGCUGCAGCGCCAGAUCAAGUGCUUGGGCAUAACCGGGUCAUCUGGGCCCACAGCAUCGCCCUUUUAACCAGGAGCGCUGAGG